UCCGUCUCGCGGAUUCAAGCAUUGCAUUCAUACAUUGUUGGUCCGUACUUCUUACGGAUUCAACAUUUUAUUCUUAUCACUUGUACUUUUUACUCUUACGUAGUACUCUCAAUCUCCCGAGAGUCUUACUACUCAUUUCACCCGUACGCCCACCUUCUACCCAAUUCUAACGGACAUACAUGUAACAAUUAUCGCGGUCUCACGAAUGUCAUACGUUUCUUGUGUAC
Molecule: long non-coding RNA, 227 nt
Filed under: Helianthus annuus (common sunflower)
Lineage: Eukaryota; Viridiplantae; Streptophyta; Magnoliopsida; Asterales; Asteraceae
Source: RNAcentral